GAGUUUGAUUAUGGCUCAGAUUGAACGCUGGCGGCAGGCUUAACACAUGCAAGUCGAACGAUGAUUACUAGCUUGCUAGUAUGAUUAGUGGCGAACGGGUGAGUAAUGCUUAGGAAUCUGCCUAUUAGUGGGGGACAACAUUCCGAAAGGAAUGCUAAUACCGCAUACGUCCUACGGGAGAAAGCAGGGGAUCUUUUGACCUUGCGCUAAUAGAUGAGCCUAAGUCGGAUUAGCUAGUUGGUGGGGUAAAGGCCUACCAAGGCGACGAUCUGUAGCUGGUCUGAGAGGAUGAUCAGCCACACUGGGACUGAGACACGGCCCAGACUCCUACGGGAGGCAGCAGUGGGGAAUAUUGGACAAUGGGCGAAAGCCUGAUCCAGCCAUGCCGCGUGUGUGAAGAAGGCCUUUUGGUUGUAAAGCACUUUAAGUGGGGAGGAAAAGCUAAUAAUUAAUACCUAUAGCCCUGACNUACCCCCAG
Molecule: ribosomal RNA, 478 nt
Filed under: Moraxella sp. canine oral taxon 017
Lineage: Bacteria; Pseudomonadati; Pseudomonadota; Gammaproteobacteria; Moraxellales; Moraxellaceae
Description: bacterial SSU rRNA
Rfam family: Bacterial small subunit ribosomal RNA
Source: RNAcentral